UGUAUUCACUACUCUAAGUUGCUCUGGAUAAGAGCGUCUGCUAAAUGACUAAAA
Molecule: non-coding RNA, 54 nt
Organism: Salmo salar (Atlantic salmon)
Lineage: Eukaryota; Metazoa; Chordata; Actinopteri; Salmoniformes; Salmonidae
Source: Rfam